Long non-coding RNA from Ictalurus punctatus (channel catfish), 1352 nucleotides. RefSeq lists it as uncharacterized. The record is from RefSeq and is a predicted model, not a curated record. NCBI's taxonomy places the organism in Eukaryota, Metazoa, Chordata, Actinopteri, Siluriformes, Ictaluridae. The transcript has 3 exons.
AAAAUACUCAAAACAACCUAUUAAAAAAGUGUCAUCUGCAGAUCCUUCGAGAAAAGAUGUUGUAACUUAAACACGUGGGUGGAGCGGGUGUGCAGGACAGCACGCUUCUCUCCAUCAUUUUAAAUAAUCCACCAACGUCAGAUUAGCACCAUGAAGAAGGUGAACCGUGAGGGAAGCGAGUGGGAUCCAUCGCUACACACACCGUGGAGCUGAGAUGAGGACACUCCAUGACAAGAAGAGCUAACUAGGAGACCAAGAAAAAUCAGCUCUGAAGCGUUUCCACUAGAUAGUUCCCCGUUAAGUGUAGAUAAAGCUAGCUUGUCGAUCCAAGAAAGACAAUGAAUCAACACAGCAGAGAGAAUGUCGUUAGCUGGAGGAGACACUGGACUAGCCAGCGCGCUAACUCACAGGAUAAAGGUCCGAGCACAAGCUCAGCUCAACCGCUGCUGGAUACACUGAACACACCAAAUUACGCUAAAAUAGUGGUGUAUUUUUUUUUUUAAUAAACAGAUAUAAUUAAUAGGACUGCCUGGUUCUUUUGUCACUACUACGACCAUAAUAAAAGAUAAACCAACCCACAGAAAGAGGUAGCGAGUCGACAGGGAAGAGGCGCCAUCUAAUGACGUCACGGGUUCAGCAGGGUUGCAGAUUCCACAAGCGGGACAAAUAUGGUGCACGGGGGAGCCUGGAGCCUAUUCCAGGGGACUUGGGUACAAGGUGUGCCAAUCCACCGCUGGUCUUAAUCACACUCACACUACGGACAACUUGGAAAUGGUCAUCAGCCUAUAGCGUAUGUCUUUCGACUGAGGGAGGAAACCCCCGAAGCACGGGGAGAACAUGCUAGCUCCACGCACACAGCCAGAGACGGGAAUCAAAGUGCGAGGCAACCGUGCUAACCAUAGUUAAUAUUAAUACAUAGUUAAUAUUCUGAUAUAAACAGAACCUGAAUUUUUCUAAAAAUGUACAUUGUUCCACAAGCAGCUGCAUGAAGCUCUGAAUGUCCUCCCCAUUUCUUAAACAGGCUUUUAGUUUUUCGUUCAGGCCCCACUCUUUCUCACUCUUAAAAUGAAAUACAUUUUAAAUAAAUUUGAGACAGUAUAUGGUGUGAAAACUGACAGUGCAACGGUUUUACAACAGUGCACAUUUUUAAAAACAGGAACAGAAAAUCUAAUUUGAAAAGCUAUGUUAGUGUUAAACACAUGACAGGCAAAUGCUAGUGCUUCAUAAAAUAUGACCCUGUAAUGUCCAUGCAUAAUGUUGCUUGAAUUUUGGUAUUACACCAGUGUACCUAUGGAAAUGGUUAAGGGAAUUUCACAUUUGUCUGGAAUUCUCGAUGGAAAAAAGUGAAGAUA